CAAGAAAUGAAUACACGUUGACAGAACGUUCAAACCUAUAUGAACUUUGAAAAACCUAUUUAUAGAAAAACCUAUGUACGGGACUUUGUCUUUGAGGCAUAAAUAUCUGUUUAUAUCGAUUUAACAUUCUCACGAAAAGAUUGUGGAGUGAUAACGUCUGCAGUAUAGAAGUAACAAAAAUCAAAUUAUGUGUUCCAGAAAUCAGAUGAAAGCGGACUGAAAAGUGAAGUGACUUGGAUUUAAACAAAACUAAGAGUAUGUUAUUAUGUUAUGCACGUUGCUAUAUCUGUUGCAUGCAUCUGUCGUCCUUAAUUA
Molecule: non-coding RNA, 315 nt
Organism: Paramuricea clavata
Lineage: Eukaryota; Metazoa; Cnidaria; Anthozoa; Malacalcyonacea; Plexauridae
Source: the annotation of a GenBank genome assembly